RNAcentral lists this small nuclear RNA (106 nucleotides) under Vulpes vulpes (red fox). The record is from RNAcentral. Lineage: Eukaryota; Metazoa; Chordata; Mammalia; Carnivora; Canidae.
AUGCUCACUUCGGCAGCACAUAGUCUAAAAUUGGAAUGAUACAGAGAAGAUUAACAUGGCCCUACACAAAGAGGACAUGCAAAUUCAUGAGGUGUCUCAUAUUUUA